GAUGAACGCUGGCGGCGUGCCUAAUACAUGCAAGUCGAGCGAACAGACGAGGAGCUUGCUCCUCUGACGUUAGCGGCGGACGGGUGAGUAACACGUGGAUAACCUACCUAUAAGACUGGGAUAACUUCGGGAAACCGGAGCUAAUACCGGAUAAUAUAUUGAACCGCAUGGUUCAAUAGUGAAAGACGGUUUUGCUGUCACUUAUAGAUGGAUCCGCGCCGCAUUAGCUAGUUGGUAAGGUAACGGCUUACCAAGGCAACGAUGCGUAGCCGACAUGAGAGGGUGAUCGGCCACACUGGAACUGAGACACGGUCCAGACUCCUACGGGAGGCAGCAGUAGGGAAUCUUCCGCAAAGGGCGAAAGCCUGACGGAGCAACGCCGCGUGAGUGAUGAAGGUCUUCGGAUCGUAAAACUCUGUUAUUAGGGAAGAACAAAUGUGUAAGUAACUAUGCACGUCUUGACGGUACCUAAUCAGAAAGCCACGGCUAACUACGUG
RNAcentral lists this ribosomal RNA (497 nucleotides) under uncultured bacterium. RNAcentral's name for it is "partial 16S ribosomal RNA". It matches the Rfam family "Bacterial small subunit ribosomal RNA", at positions 28 to 507 of the family's 1533-position model. The record is from RNAcentral.